UUUUGGUCAGUGAAAGAUGUUUGGGUCUUUAUGGAUUACUUUAAGAAAGAUUUUGUGUUGUUUCAGUUAUGUACAAUAUAUGCCUUAGCUUUAUGUCAUAGUGAUGUAUAACACUUGCCUCUAUAUAUGUGCCAAGUUUGAAGUAAAUUGAAACAAAAUUGCUGUUUUUGUAGACAUUUAAAAUUUUGGCCAU
Long non-coding RNA from Sphaeramia orbicularis (orbiculate cardinalfish), 193 nucleotides. RefSeq lists it as uncharacterized. The transcript is spliced from 2 exons. The record is from RefSeq and is a predicted model, not a curated record. NCBI's taxonomy places the organism in Eukaryota, Metazoa, Chordata, Actinopteri, Kurtiformes, Apogonidae.